GGACAAUGGGUUCUUGAUUCCACCUAUAUUAAUAAACCCCAAAAAUUCAUAUUGAAAUUCCUCAUAAAUUAAAAUAAUACCUUGCACUGCCUUUCGAGCACAAUACCUCGUUCAACACCUUCUUUCUAAGGCGGAACGGACCACCUCUUUGGAUUUAAUUUAUUCAUUUAUGGAUAAGACGGCCUCGUGAUUUUCGCCUCCCUCCCACAAUUUUUCAUGGUACUGCGCUUGAGCAUGGGUUCUGAACGCAGGACACCAGGGGAAUGCAAGUUAUGUCCGGCAAACAAUGCGAACAAUAGGACCCACCUUUGCAUGAAUAAAAGAGCGAGUGUUGAAUUUACCAUUAUGGAAGGGAAUUUGCUGGCACUGCGAAGGCGGCCAGGACAUUCAGAACAUUCAGUACAUUCCCCACCAUGCGAGUGCGUGGGACGAGGCAACUACUUGAUGUGUGCCUCUCUGGGCAAACACUCAACCACUCACGGGCACUUUCACCAUCCACUGGCAAGUGUAUAUGAGAGUGCGUUGACAUACAGUGUGUGCCAAUGUGGCUGUCCCCCAUUUUUUGGAGUGUUCCCCCGCCCAGAAAAGUCCCCGAAACCCCCACGCCCAUGUCAAAAGCAGAGCUGCGUCAGGAACGUCCUGGGUCGGGGUCUUGGGGGUUCGUAAUGAUUGUGGCAAGCCAAAAUAAACUAAACUCGACUUGACUGGAA
Drosophila santomea is the source of this 710-nucleotide long non-coding RNA. RefSeq lists it as uncharacterized. The record is from RefSeq and is a predicted model, not a curated record. NCBI's taxonomy places the organism in Eukaryota, Metazoa, Arthropoda, Insecta, Diptera, Drosophilidae. The transcript has 2 exons.